Molecule: ribosomal RNA, 490 nt
Filed under: uncultured bacterium
Lineage: Bacteria
Description: partial 16S ribosomal RNA
Rfam family: Bacterial small subunit ribosomal RNA
Source: RNAcentral
AGUGAACGCUGGCGGUAGGCCUAACACAUGCAAGUCGAACGGCAGCACAGGAGAGCUUGCUCUCUAGGUGGCGAGUGGCGGGCGGGUGAGGAAUACAUCGGAAUCUGCCCAGUCGUGGGGGAUAACGUAGGGAAACUUACGCUAAUACCGCAUACGACCUUCGGGUGAAGGAGGGGGAUCGCAAGACCUCUCGCGAUUGGAUGAGCCGAUGUCGGAUUAGCUAGUUAGCGGGGUAAUGGCCCACCAAGGCGACGAUCCGUAGCUGGUCUGAGAGGAUGAUCAGCCACACUGGAACUGAGACACGGUCCAGACUCCUACGGGAGGCAGCAGUGGGGAAUAUUCGACAAUGGGCGAAAGCCUGAUCCAGCCAUACCGCGUGGGUGAAGAAGGCCUUCGGGUUGUAAAGCCCUUUUGUUGGGAAAGAAAUCUUUCAGGCUAAUACCCUGGGAGGAUGACGGUACCCAAAGAAUAAGCACCGGCUAACUUCGUG